This 450-nucleotide ribosomal RNA is filed under the name uncultured bacterium. Its description in RNAcentral is "bacterial SSU rRNA". It matches the Rfam family "Bacterial small subunit ribosomal RNA", at positions 329 to 794 of the family's 1533-position model. The record is from RNAcentral.
CACCAGACUCCUACGGGAGGCAGCAGUGGGGGAUAUUGCACAAUGGGGGAAACCCUGAUGCAGCGACGCCGCGUGGGCGAAGAAGUAUUUCGGUAUGUAAAGCCCUAUCAGCAGGGAAGAAGAAAUGACGGUACCUGAGUAAGAAGCACCGGCUAACUACGUGCCAGCAGCCGCGGUAAUACGUAGGGGGCAAGCGUUAUCCGGAUUUACUGGGUGUAAAGGGAGCGUAGACGGCAAGGCAAGUCUGGAGUGAAAGCCCGUGGCCCAACCACGGGACUGCUUUGGAAACUGUGUUGCUGGAGUGCAGGAGGGGUAAGCGGAAUUCCUAGUGUAGCGGUGAAAUGCGUAGAUAUUAGGAGGAACACCGGUGGCGAAGGCGGCUUACUGGACUGUAACUGACGUUGAGGCUCGAAGGCGUGGGGAGCAAACAGGAUUAGAUACCCGUGUAUC